Molecule: ribosomal RNA, 253 nt
Filed under: uncultured bacterium
Lineage: Bacteria
Description: partial 16S ribosomal RNA
Rfam family: Bacterial small subunit ribosomal RNA
Source: RNAcentral
GACAGAGGGGGCAAGCGUUGCUCGGAAUUACUGGGCGUAAAGGGCGCGUAGGCGGGAUGGCAAGUCGGUCGUGAAAUCCUUCGGCUCAACCGGAGAACGUCGAUCGAUACUGCUGUUCUUGAGGGUUGCAGAGGAGACUGGAAUUCCUGGUGUAGCGGUGAAAUGCGCAGAUAUCAGGAAGAACACCCGUGGCGAAGGCGGCUCUCUGGGACGGUACUGACGCUGAGACGCGAAAGCGUGGGGAGCGAACAGG